UAAGACGAAGGAUGCAAGCGUUAUCCGGAUUCAUUGGGUUUAAAGGGAGCGUAGGUGGCCUUAUAAGUCAGUGGUGAAAUCUCUGGGCUUAACCCAGAAAUUGCCAUUGAUACUGUAGGGCUUGAGUAUAGAUGCCGUUGGCGGAAUAUGACAUGUAGUGGUGAAAUACAUAGAGAUGUCAUAGAACACCGAUUGCGAAGGCAGCUAACGAAACUAUAACUGACACUGAGGCUCGAAAGUGUGGGGAUCAAACAGGAUUAGAUACCCUGGUAGUCCACACUGUAAACGAUGAUUACUCGCUGCUAGAGGGUAACUUUUAGUGGCUUAGCGAAAGCGAUAAGUAAUCCACCUGGGGAGUACGCCGGCAACGGUG
RNAcentral lists this ribosomal RNA (373 nucleotides) under uncultured bacterium. RNAcentral's name for it is "bacterial SSU rRNA". It matches the Rfam family "Bacterial small subunit ribosomal RNA", at positions 521 to 896 of the family's 1533-position model. The record is from RNAcentral.